AUAAUGGAGAGUUUGAUCCUGGCUCAGGACGAACGCUGACGGCGUGGAUUAGGCAUGCAAGUCGAACGAGAAAUUCCCCGCUUGCGGGGAAGAGUACAGUGGCGAACGGGUGAGUAACGCGUAGGUAUCUGCCUCGUAGACUGGGAUAGCCCCGGGAAACCGGGGGUAAUACCGGAUAUGUUUUACGAAACAAAGGUGGCCUCUGUUUACAAGCUGCCGCUAUGAGAUGAGCCUGCGUCAUAUUAGCUUGUUGGUAGGGUAAUGGCCUACCAAGGCGAUGAUGUGUAGCCGACCUUAACGGGUGACCGGCCACACUGGGAUUGAGAUACGGCCCAGACUCCUACGGGAGGCAGCAGUCGAGAAUAGUCUACAAUGGGGGAAACCCUGAUAGUGCGACGCCGUGUGUGCGAUUAAUUCCUUCGGGAUGUAAAGCACUUUUCUAUGAGAUAAAAGCUCUUUAGAUUAAUAGUUUAUUGAGACGGAUAUUAUUAUAGGAAUAAGCUCCGGCUAACUCCGUGCCAGCAGCCGCGGUAAUACGGAAGGAGCGAGCGUUGUCCGGAUUUACUAGGCGUAAAGGGCUAGUAGGCGACUAAUUAAGUUAUAUGUUAAAUCCCACGGCUCAACUGUGGUCCUGCAUGUAAUACUGGUUAGAUAGAGUACUGUAGAGGAAGGCAGAAUUCCUGGAGUAGCGGUGGAAUGCGCAGAUAUCAGGAAGAAUACCAAAAGCGAAGGCAGCCUUCUGGGCAGUUACUGACGCUGAAUAGCGAAGGUGUGGGUAGCGAACAGGAUUAGAUACCCUGGUAGUCCACACAGUAAACGAUGAUCACUAGAUGUUGGUGAGUAAAAAAAAUCAUCAGUGUCGAAGUUAACGCAUUAAGUGAUCCGCCUGGGGAGUACGAUCGCAAGAUUGAAACUCAAAGGAAUUGACGGGACCCCGCACAAGCGGUGGAGCAUGUUGUUCAAUUCGAUGCAACGCGAAGAACCUUACCUGGGCUUGACUUCCCGAGAAGACCUAUGAAAGCAGGUUGUGCCCCUUCGGGGGAACUCGGUGACAGGUGCUGCAUGGCUGUCGUCAGCUCGUGUCGUGAGAUGUUGGGUUAAGUCCCGCAACGAGCGCAACCCCUGUUCUUAGUUACCAUCAUUAAGUUGGGGACUCUAAGAAUACUGCCAAGGUGACAACUUGGAGGAAGGUGGGGAUGAUGUCAAGUCAUCAUGGUCCUUAUGCCCAGGGCUACAAACGUGCUACAAUGGUCGGUACAAAGAGCCGCUAAACAGCGAUGUCAUGCUAAUCUCAAAAAGCCGACCUCAGUUCGGAUUGGAGUCUGCAACUCGACUCCAUGAAGUUGGAAUCGCUAGUAAUCGCGGAUCAGCAGGUCGCGGUGAAUACGUUCCCGGGGUUUGUACACACCGCCCGUCAAGUCAACCGAGUUGAUUGUACCCGAAGCUGGUGAGCGAAUCCGUAAGGAUAGCAGCCGACGAAGGUAUGGUCAGCAAGGGGGACUAAGUCGUAACAAGGUAGCCGUACCGGAAGGUGCGGCUGGAUCACCUCCUUU
This 1553-nucleotide ribosomal RNA is filed under the name Candidatus Celaenobacter antarcticus. RNAcentral's name for it is "bacterial SSU rRNA". It matches the Rfam family "Bacterial small subunit ribosomal RNA". The record is from RNAcentral. Lineage: Bacteria; Pseudomonadati; Candidatus Cloacimonadota; Cloacimonadia (SeqCode).